RNAcentral lists this non-coding RNA (27 nucleotides) under Rattus norvegicus (Norway rat). The record is from RNAcentral. Lineage: Eukaryota; Metazoa; Chordata; Mammalia; Rodentia; Muridae.
UGGAAAGUGUGUGAUAACUGUGCCAGC